CACUGCCAUAAAUGGUGUGCUCCGCGUUCGUGGUGCAACGGGCUUGUAUCAGCCUGUUUUCAGACACUGACUAGCUGAAGCAGGGAGGGAAAUCCUGGAAUCCCCCUCCAGAUAAACAGCUGACCUUUAGACCAACGCUCAACCCAGUCACAGGCACAUCUGAAGGUUAAUCUUGGUGGAUCCCACCCAGGGCCCUACACUCCCUACUUUACACCUCGUAGAAUUCCCUGUGUUGAAGUCCAAGGAUGCAGUGUUUCUACUCUAGCCAGUAAGAUGAAUGAAAAAUCUCUUCUCAAGAAGAUAGUAACACAACUGAAACAAGCAGAAGUCAAAUCUGUCAAGUCCCAACACACCACGAAUAUAACAAUCCUUGAAUGCCACAGGACCAGAGAUCAAGCACCCCCCUGCAGUUCUAUUUUGAAAAGUGACUCUGAAAUGACACUGUAGGGUUCCAGACGUGUCUCACUGAGUCCAUAUCAAAUGAUCUCAGUUUACAAACACAAUUAUGUUUUUUGUUACCUGCUGGCCUUACAAGUUCACCUUGAGUUGGUUUCCUUCUUUCUCAGGAAAUGGAGAAAUUUCUGGUGGGCCGGAUGAAUGCCGAUGUGGAAGAGCCACAAACCAGGCCCCAUGGGGGAGAGAUGGGAUAAUCGAUGCCAGUGUUACCAUAUGGAAUUUGGAUUUCCUGAUUAAGGUGUUUUAGUAGCUGAAGGUUGAGAAUGGGACAGUGCCCUUUUGAUAUGGAAUCAGUGAGAGACUGGCCCCCAUAAUGUUAUUUCAUGGAGUCACCUUUCAAAGUACUUCUCUACCUUAAGAAUGAUUAUUCCUUAACCUAAAUAGUUCAUAUGACAGCAAUCCAACAAGAUCUGUAUUGGCCUGGUAAUAGCCAAUAAAAACUCUACACACUCAUGAAAGAUAAACAGGACUAUUUUUGGCCAGGAUGGGCUGAGUUAAGCUGUGGUUGCUAUGGGGAGGCACAAGAAGCCACCACAGUUCAAUUCAAAAGCUGCCUCAGUUUAAUAGCAUCGCUCAGCUUUUCUAAGCUUGGACUCCUAAAUGGUUUGAGUUUACGUUGUCUAGAACGCUCUUGGAAGCAAACCCUCCAAGGGAAAGGACCUCACUAAGCAAGCACUAUGGAGCAGAGCCAAUGCCGGGUAAUGGAACCAACAAGACCCACCAGAAGCACAGCAAGCUUGCCACAAAAAAGCGUAAGAAAGGAAAACAAAUAGUCCGAACGAAGCAUAAUGGAACAUCUCAAUUAGGCUGAAUUUAAGUCUCAUGCACAUGUUCCCUUCUGCACAAACUCACCUUCACC
Molecule: long non-coding RNA, 1315 nt
Organism: Mauremys mutica (yellowpond turtle)
Lineage: Eukaryota; Metazoa; Chordata; Testudines; Geoemydidae
Exons: 3
Source: RefSeq, a predicted model, not a curated record